GGGGGAAUAUUGCGCAAUGGGCGAAAGCCUUACGCAGCGACGCCGCGUGAGGGGUUAAGGUUCUCGGAUCGUAAACCUCUGUCAGAAGGGAAGAAACCGCACUGUGCUAAUCAGCAGUGCCUUGACGGUACCUUCAAAGGCAGCACCGGCUAACUCCGUGCCAGCAGCCGCGGUAAUACGGAGGGUGCAAGCGUUAAUCGGAAUUACUGGGCGUAACGCGCACGUAGGCUGCUUUGUAAGUCAGGGGUGAAAUCCCACGGCUCACCCGUGUAUCUGCCUUUGAUCCUGCUUACCUUGAAUCCGGGGGAGGGUGGCGGACUUCCAGUGGUAGGAGUGAAUUCCGUAGAUAUCUGGAGGACCCUCAGUGCCGAAGCCGCCCACCUGUCCCGUUCUUGCCCCUGGGGUGCGAACGCUUGGGGAGCAAACAGG
This 429-nucleotide ribosomal RNA is filed under the name Fusobacteriota bacterium. Its description in RNAcentral is "Fusobacteria bacterium partial 16S ribosomal RNA". It matches the Rfam family "Bacterial small subunit ribosomal RNA", at positions 355 to 776 of the family's 1533-position model. Lineage: Bacteria; Fusobacteriati; Fusobacteriota. The record is from RNAcentral.